Molecule: long non-coding RNA, 637 nt
Filed under: Lepisosteus oculatus (spotted gar)
Lineage: Eukaryota; Metazoa; Chordata; Actinopteri; Semionotiformes; Lepisosteidae
Description: lncRNA (ENSLOCG00000021833.1)
Source: RNAcentral
CGGAGUCAGACGGGCAAACAGAGGUUCUGGACCGAAAUGAGCGACACCAGCCUCUUCCUCACGAAACAGGUGCUUGGGGGAGACAACUGUCGCUUGUCGCGCACAAUGCUGCACCGAAACGGAGGGAAGUCGCAGGGAGAGAUCGGGAGCAGGGGCUGUGAUCGCCCGGGCUGGGCAAGGGGCAGGACAGGGAGAGGGGCUCUGCGGUCGGACAGCCGGUGAUUUACAAGUCAGAAGACAGUGCCUGUCAGGUCUGGCCGUGUUGUCUUAAGGUCUGGCCCAGGCGGACACGCUGUCCGCGGCCUGGCGCGCUCACAUGGGCCCCAGAUGUGGCUGGAUUCCCAGGCACGUUCCUCAUGUUCUCGGAAACCCGCUCCUCUAACCCCUUCCUCCCCGGAACAGCCAGUGCUCUCCUUUAAAGAUCCACGCACACGCACAAAACCGGCCCUGCUGAGGGCCGCCCGCUGGCACGACUCUCUCAGGGCUCCAGCGUCCUGAGAGGUCUGUCUGUGUGGAGUUUACAUGUCCUCUGCACAUACAUGUGGGUUUUUGGCACUCGCUCCAGCUCAUUCCUGUCUGUCGGAGCCACGCGGGUGAGCCGUGAUUCUACGUGGAGCAGCAGAGGUUCAAGGGGAUU